Long non-coding RNA from Orbicella faveolata, 3211 nucleotides. Lineage: Eukaryota; Metazoa; Cnidaria; Anthozoa; Scleractinia; Merulinidae. The record is from RefSeq and is a predicted model, not a curated record.
CUGAAAGGAACAUGGGGUCACUGUGAUCUCAACGAUAUUUUUCCUUAAUGAAGAAAGAAAAUUUGUUGAAAACUUGUCAGUCUUAAUAAACGAGUGAAAAGGACGGCUGUAGGUUGAGCCUAGUAGCUGCUACCAGAUCUGACAUUUUGGAUUUAUUUGGUCACGGAAAUUUUAUUUUUGUUAGGGAAAAGUCGGAAUUUUGAAAAGUGAUGUCUGUGGCAACCAUGAUUGAGAAAUGUUUUAAGUCUUUGGGUGUAAUAUUGAUGGAGAGAUUGGUUUUCAGGAACUCCAUUCUUCGGAAACUUUAGAGAUUAUAAAAUGCCGUACUAAAGUGGAAAUGAUAUAACAGCAUUAAAUAACUAUAGUUUGUGACAAGUGAAAGUUACACAAUAUUAGCGUUAGGACUGAGCCCUAGUUGCAAUUAGUAGAAAUUAUUAUCAGCAACAAGCAUGAAUUUUUAUCAGCAAAGUUGCAAGCCAUAAAGCAUAAGCAAUAUUCGUUAAAUGCAAUUUAACUAUUGCUUUAGCAGCAGACAAAAAUUUGAAAAAAGUUGCAGAUUUCCAAGUUAACUUUCAGUGUCUGAUGUCAAAGGCAUUUCUGUCCAUGCGAUGUACAUUGCAAACUGAAGGUAAAGUAUUGUAUGUUCUUAAGAUCUGUAAGCUGGUAUGUAAGGAUACAUCUGUGAAGCGCAUAUUGCGAAAAAAACAAAGAACUCAUUCAGCAAAGCUUGACCUGAUUUUGUAAUAGUAUUUUUUUUAUCUCAGCUAUCUCUUACUUAAAACUUUCCUUUAAUACUCCAGGUUUAGUCAACAAAAAAUGUUUGAUAAAAUGGAAAGCUGAUAGCUGUUUUAGGAAAAAUAUAUGGAGAUCAUUGCCCCUUUCCUGCUAUUAUCGUUUAUCCUCAUUUUAAUAUUCCUCUUAAAUUUUUAAGAGUACAACUUGUGGAGGCACAGCAGCCUCGUAGUUAGUGCACUCACCUCCAGGUCGAGCAGUCUGGGUUUGAGCCCUGGCUGAGGACAUUGUGUUGUGCCCUUGGGCAAGACACUUUACUCUCACAGUGCCUUUCUCCACCCAGGUGUAAAAGUGGGUACCAGCAAACUUAAUGCUGGGGGUAAUCCUGGAAUGGACUAGGAACCCAUCCAAGCGGGGUGGGGGGGNGAGAAGAAAUACUUGUAGACACUUCAUGCCACAGAAUGCCACAGAAACUAGAGAUAAUUUCCAGGCUGAUGGGCCCCUUUUCUCGUGUGCAGACUUAAUCUUACCUUUUACAACUUAGGAAGAACUGUAAAGUUGUUUUCGAAAACUAAUCACCCAGGUUAUCUUAAGUUGUAAAAUUUUUUCGUCCUUUCAUGAAAAGAAUCUUCUACUGCAAUUUCAGUAAGGGCAUUUUCCGUAACAAGCCAGUUCUUAUCGGUCAAAACAAAGGUAGUAAGAAUAUUACUUGUUGUUGACUUCAGAACUUUGCAAAUUCUUGAGUUGUGAGCUGCACAGUUCACUUUGGUUGUUUUCUUACUAAGUGCAUUGUAUUGUGGGGUACAUAAGUAACAUAUUAAUUUUGUUAUGCCAGUUUAUGAAGCAUUUUUCCUUCUGAAAAAGUCAGUCUCAACUUGUUUUGUCAAUUUAAGUUGCAUUUAAGUCGUUAGCUAAUUUUGUUUGAAGUGAUACCUGUUUCCUGUGGUGAGCUUGUACAUACUACAACAUUAGUUACUACCAGUGGAACACGAGGACAUGUUUAACACAAUUGUUCAUGGUGAAUUGGUUUUGAUAAAAUGGAACCCCUGAGUUGUUGCAUCUGUAUGGAGCCAGGGUGGAAAGAGCUUGGAGCACAUGGCCUUAGAACUAUGCAGAAGCUAUUUACUUCUAUUUUAUAGUACUACAGUGUUCUGUGCAUGUGAAAAUACUAGCAAUUGAAAUGGAUAUCAUCAAGAAGAAAAUACCGAUUUAACAAAUAAAACCUAGCAUUCUAGUUUUGCAUUACUUUUUUUUAAUCUCCACCAUUUAUUACAAGUUACUCAGAUUAUAUUAAAUAUGUUUUUCCUCUUUCUAGAUCUCUGUUGAUAUAUAUAUUUUUUAUUUUGCUGUUAGUUUCCAUUUGAUUUGUGGAUUCAAAAUCUCAGGCCUGGUUCAAAAACCACUUUGCUGUCAACCCAGUUCUGUCGAUUUAGUUGACAUACUUGUUGACCCUGAUUCAAAUGGAUUUCUUUUGCUGCAUUUAGUUUGGUUUUGGUGCAAGAGCAGAAUGGUGGUUGAACUUGGCAUGAGAAGUGUGGGAGCAACAUUGACAUCUCAUAUAAUUCUGGCACUCUUCACAUUUUGAAAUCAUCUGUUGCUGUUUUUUUUUUUUUUUUUUAUUUUUUCUUUUUAACAGCUCCGUGUGGUUACCUGUGGAAUGUAACAAUAUAUAAGAGCUAGCGGUAUCGAGAGAUUCCUGCAGAUAUCUUGAGUUCCUUGUCCAUCAUCGUGCUGCUCAUUUCGUAGGAGAAAGUUGACUGAUCUCAACCUUUCAAGCACAAGAUAAGCACAUUGGUUAUUUCUUUGGAAACAUUCUCUAAUUGCUUUUUCAAUUCCCAUAAGACUCAUUGAACUAAGUAUCGGAAAAGUGAGUUCAAAGGCUCAGAGAGAAUUGUUGAUGAUUGUUUUUUUUUUUAUUUAACUUAUCCACUGUAAGCUAUAAAUAAUCGAAAAUCUCUAACCUUAAAGAAAAUAAUUACCUUGCUUUUAGAAAAGGGAACUCGUAAAUGGACAAACCAUAAGUUAACAUGCAUCAUAUGGCCUUGAAAUCAGCCGAGAUUUAUGUUAAAGUAAAAAGUUCCUCAAACCGCAUUUUAUAUUAUUUGCUUAGCAAGCAGAAAUUGUCUGUAGUGAAUAUCGUGUUGAUGUACUUAAAUCGAAUAGUAGCUUGUUGAGGAGCUGUAUGUAACUAGUAUUCACUGUUGACUAUUCAAUAGGGGAAUCGUUGCUUUGCCUAAUUGGUCAAAAAGGGGAAAUAACUUUGAUACCGGCCGGUAGCGCGCGAAUCGCGUCAACAGUUUAUGAUGUUAAAGAGUUUAUCUUACGCGUACUUAAAUCUUUCUCGACACAAACACACCAGACAUUCAGUCCUCUAGGUUGACAUGCAGACCUAACCUCUUUAUUUCAUGCUUUGUUAAAUCCGGAGAUGUUGAAGAGUGAAUUUAUUUUCAAACUUGGAAGUGUGACAAUUUUUUUUCUU